GAUUUCUGGGCUCAAGAAUUUGGCCGGCCACGGUUUCGUGUGUUAGUGCUUUGUUCUGUGUCCAUCCUUCCAAUCGCCAUUGGCUCUUCUUCAUUGAUUGGUCAGUGGUAUUGGAUCUUUUACUUUGAAAAAAUUAGAGUGUUUCAAGCAGGCUUUAUGCUAUGAAUACAUUAGCAUGGAAUAAUAAUUUAGGACUUCGGUUCUAUUUUGUUGGUUUCUAGGACUGAAGUAAUGAUUGAUAGGGAUAGUUGGGGGUGCUAGUAUUCAGCGGCCAGAGGUGAAAUUCUCGGAUUCGCUGAAGACUAACUUAUGCGAAAGCAUU
RNAcentral lists this ribosomal RNA (322 nucleotides) under Cercomonadida environmental sample. RNAcentral describes it as "SSU rRNA". The stretch from base 61 to 322 matches the Rfam family "Eukaryotic small subunit ribosomal RNA", at positions 693 to 955 of the family's 1831-position model. Lineage: Eukaryota; Cercozoa; Cercomonadida. RNAcentral also lists the same sequence under 1 other name. The record is from RNAcentral.